AUUGAACGCUGGCGGCAUGCCUUACACAUGCAAGUCGAACGGCAGCACGGGUGCUUGCACCUGGUGGCGAGUGGCGAACGGGUGAGUAAUACAUCGGAACGUACCGUAUCGGGGGGGAUAACGCAGUGAAAGCUGUGCUAAUACCGCAUACGCUCUGAGGGGGAAAGCGGGGGAUCGAAAGACCUCGCGCGAUUAGAGCGGCCGAUGCCUGAUUAGCUUGUUGGUGGGGUAAAAGCCCACCAAGGCGACGAUCAGUAGCUGGUCUGAGAGGACGAUCAGCCACACUGGGACUGGGACACGGCCCAGACUCCUACGGGAGGCAGCAGUGGGGAAUUUUGGACAAUGGGGGCAACCCUGAUCCAGCAAUGCCGCGUGAGUGAAGAAGGCCUUCGGGUUGUAAAGCUCUUUUGUCAGGGAAGAAACACCGGCUCUAACACAGUCCGGGAAUGACGGUACCUGAAGAAUAAGCACCGGCUAACUACGUGCCAGCAGCCGCCGUAA
This 501-nucleotide ribosomal RNA is filed under the name uncultured bacterium. RNAcentral describes it as "partial 16S ribosomal RNA". It matches the Rfam family "Bacterial small subunit ribosomal RNA", at positions 29 to 523 of the family's 1533-position model. The record is from RNAcentral.